GCUCUCCACACAACAACGAGGGACUCCCAGGUCCCAGUCUCUUCUGGAUCGAAGCCGCCACCUCCUGGAACGAAGCCGCCGCUGUCUGGAUUCGCCGCCGCCGCCGCCGGCGACGCUUGGAUCCGACCGGCCACCACACCCCCACACCAGGAGGCAGCAGCCUCUUCUCCUGACGGCAGAGCAUGUCAUCUGGGAGUGGCACAGCUGGGUUAUGUCUUCAACUCUUCUAAUCUUCUUUACUGUUCGAUGUGUUUUGCAAGAUGCAACUUGCAAUGACAUGGGGGGACAAGAAUCAAUCAAGCACUUGAUAAAAGAGACACAACCGAAUGGGGGCAGUAUCUCUAUUCUAAUCUUUUUCUCCUUUAUUUUCUGUAUUAACUCUAUAUUACAUGACAUAUUUUUAUUUUAUUUUAUAUAUGCUCACCGUAUCCCCGAAUGACUGUAUUUGGAAAAUGCCGUAUCCCGUAUCCCUGUAUGCGUAUCCCCAACUUUCCGUCCCCGUGUCCGUGCUUUUUAGCCUAUGGGUAACAAUGAAAGAAUACUACUGCUAUAAAUUCCAUACACGACCAGGCAUAUUCAACCCAAUUUUGCAUGGCGGACGCCUUUUCCAGCAGUUUGCUGUAGAUACAUACAACAAGAUUGAAAGCUCCAGACUGGAUUACAUCUGGCAUAAUCAAAAGAAAAUAAGGGCUGACCUAUACCAAGGCCUUCUAGACAGCAUUCAAGCUGGAGAACAGAAUGGAGAUGCUGUCGGAAAACAGAGAGUACUUGCCUCGUCAUUUAUUGGAAGACCACGAGAUAAACUUCGUCGAUAUCUCGACGCUAUGGCUUUAGUUAGAAAAUAUGGUAAGCCAGACGUAUUCCUAACAAUGACCUGCAACCCCAACUGGGAGGAGAUAACACAUGAACUAGAGAAUGGACAAACAGCACAAGAUCGCCCAGACAUUGUAGUUCGUGUUUUCAGGGCGAAGCUACAAGAAAUGAAGAAGGAACUAUUUGAGAAGGGCAUUCUUGGAAAGGUUCAGGCAUAUACAUAUGUCGUAGAGUUCCAAAAGAGGGGAUUACCCCAUGCUCACUUUUUGCUCAUCAUGACUCGAAAAUACAAGUACACAUGUCCAGAGCAGUAUGACAGAAUCAUAUCCGCAGAGCUCCCUAACAAGCACAAGUACCCAGAACUAUACAAGAUGGUAAUCAAACAUAUGAUGCAUGGUCCUUGCGGUGCAUUGAACAAAUUUUGUCCAUGCUCAAAGAAUCGUCCAUCAUGCAAGAACAAUUAUCCAAGACCAUUUAACGAAACUACGAUUCAAGGCAAGGACUACCCAAUAUAUAGGAGACGCAACGAUGGCCGGACUGAAACGGUCCGAAAUUGCAAACUAGAUAACAUGUGGGUAGUUCCUUACAAUCCCUAUCUGUUAAGGAUGUUCAACUGCCACAUAAAUGUUGAGAUAUGCUCAAGCAUUAAAGCCGUGAAAUACCUCUUCAAGUACAUCUACAAGGGUCAUGACCGAGCAUCCGUAUCCGUAACAGACAAAGUAGACGAAGAAGAAAUCGACGAGAUUAAGCAGUACAGAGACGCCCACUAGGUGACACCUCCUGAAGUACUGUGGAGAAUAUAUGGCUUCGAACUAAGUAAAAUGCACCCACCAGUCUUGCAACUGCAGCUACAUCUCCCAAAUAUGCACAUGGUUUCAUAUCAUGGCAUGGAAAAAUUACAGAAUGUUAUCGACCGUGAAGACACGGAAAGAUCAAUGUUGACUGCGUACUUUGAAGCAAACAGAUGGUAUGCAAAAGCACGAGGCAUACUAUACAGAGAGUUUCCGGAACAUUAUACUUGGCAGAGUCAGGGGAAAUUUUGGCAACAGAGGAAGCGAGCCGCUGUGUUCCAGGUUGGCAGGAUCGUCUCAGCACACCCAGCUGAAGGAGAACGAUACUAUCUUCGAGUCCUCCUAAACCACGUGACAGGCGCCACCAGCUACAAAGACCUAUGAACAGUCGAUGGACAAGUAAUGCCAACCUUUCGAGAAGCUGCAGAAAAAAGAGGUCUCAUUGAGGCAGAUAUCACAUUGGAUGACUGCAUGAUAGAAGUGGAGUUGUUUCGGAUGCCAUCAUCGCUACGACGACUAUUUGCGACAAUCUUGGUUUUUUGCGAGCCCAGCGACAUACGCAGCCUCUGGAACAAACACCUUGAUGCAAUGUCAGAGGACUACAACAAAAAUUGCAAAUGCAAACACACAGUCGAACAGAUGGUUCUGAAAAAUAUAGAGACAUGUUGCACUCAAUGGGAAAAGACAUAGAAUCAUUUCCUCUUCCAAAGAUCGACGAACAACAUGAGAUGACAGACGACAUACCGAGGGAGAUCAUUGAGGAAACAUCCAUCGAGGUGGAACCCGAGGACACAUCUUUGCAUAAGAACCUAAACAAGGAGCAGAAGGAGGCCUACGACGAAAUCCUAGCAACAAUUGACGACCAAAGUGGAGGUAUAUUCUUUGUCGAUGGACCUGGAGGCAUGGGAAAAACUUUUCUUUACAGGGCUCUCUUAGCCACAAUACGCAGACAAGGCAAGAUUGCUGUAGCGACAGCCACUUCCGGUGUUGCUGCUUCAAUAAUGCCCGGAGGGAGGACCGCGCAAUCGAGGUUCAAGAUUCCACUAAAAAUAGACGAGGGGGCUGUUUGUGGAUUCACAAAACAGAGUGGGACAGCCAAACUACUGAAAGCAGCAUCACUAACAAUCUGGGAUGAAGCAUCUAUGACCAAGAGGCAGACAGUGGAGGCGCUAGACAGAAGCAUGCGGGACAUAAUGGACAGGCCAGAACUUCCAUUCGGAGGAAAAACAGUCGUAUUUGGAGGGGAUUUUAGGCAAGUGCUACCUGUUGUCCGAAAGGGAACAAGAGCCCAGAUAGUAGAUUCAUCACUACGCAAGUCUGUCCUCUGGAAUUCAAUGCGUCAACUGAAGCUCGUGCGCAACAUGAGGGCUCAAAACGACCCAUGGUUCGCAGUACCUACUACGCAUUGGAAACGGAACCGAGGAGACAAAUGAUGAUGGUGAAAUACAACUACCUACAAUUAUAUGUGUGCCAAAUAAGACGGAUGACAAUAGCCUUGAUAGACUCAUCGACAAUGUCUACAAAACGGACAAUGCUUCCCUAAAAGAUCCAAAGUACAUCACGUCAAGAGCAAUUCUAUCAACAAGGAACGACUCCAUAGACAAAAUCAACCUAAAAAUGAUUGAUCGUUUCCAGGGGGAGGAGAUGGUGUACCACAGCUUCGAUUCGGUAGAAGACGACCCACAUAACUACUAUCCACCAGAAUUCCUAAACACUCUCACCCCAAAUGGACUGCCUCCACAUAUGUUGAAGCUCAAAUUAAUUGCCCAAUCAUACUACUCAGAAACAUCGACCCUGCUAAUGGACUAUGCAACGACACGAAGUUGGUCGUACGUGGAUUUCAAAAAAAUACAAUUGACGCGAAGAUUGUGGUGGGACAACACUCUGGAAUGCGAGUUUCCUGCCCAGGAUACCAUUAUGCCCCUCUGACAAUGACAUGUUUCCGUUCAGUUUCAAGAGGAAACAGUUUCCAGUCAAACUCAGUUUUGCAAUGACAGUAAAUAAAUUACAAGGCCAGACAAUACCAAAUGCCGGCAUCUACCUGCCUGAACCGGUUUUCUCACAUGGUCAACUAUAUGUCGCACUAUCUAGAGCAACCGCGACAUCAAACAUAAAGAUACUACCAGGUACACAUGAUGAGAGCAAGCAGAAGAACAAAAAGACCAGCAUAGACGACACAUACACAAAGGGAGAGAAGAAAAAGAGAAAGAAAAAAACCAGUACAAGCGGGACAUAUACAAAAAAUAUUGUCUACAAGGAAGUCCUAACCAAAUAGGUAAUACAACCUUUCAAUUUCUUCUUCAAAAUUUCAAUUACUACUUGAAAGGAUCGUCAUUUAAAAAAAAUAAAGUGUUUAUAUUUCAAAUUACAUUCUUCAUUUUCUAACCUUAAACAUACUACUUGGAUUCUACAGAAACAUUGCAGCCAGAUGACAACUUCGCAGUUAGAAUUCAGAACUUCAUCGUCUUCAAGGAGACAAGACUCAUUUGUGUAUAUACAAACAAUUCAUGAUUUCAUUCUCAUGUACAAUGUCCUCAAGAACAAAAUCAUUCAAAGUUUUAUUAAUCAUGUGUCAACCAAACUCAUUGAUGGUUUUGCUACAACCAACACUUUACUUUCAAUUUAAUUUGUGAUUAUAUCCAACUCCCAAUGCUUAUAUAUGUGAUGUACAUAGACUGCUAACCCUGCUCAAACUGAAAUACAUCUAUUUGACAUUUAAAAACAACCAGAAAGAAUGAAUAUUCAUGCAAAAAGUACCACAAAGUAACAAAACAAAUCACAAAGUAACAAAAGGAGAACAGGAUCAGAUCAAAUUCUAUUUUUUAUGUGAUUCUAAAACGACCUAAAAGCUAACCUAGACUACUGAUAGUUAUUUCACAUAUUAAUUAUUAUCAAACAAAUAUUAAAACUAAAUCUAAUCACAUGUGCUUAAGUUGGAUCAAUAUUAAUAGGGGUAGGGGGGCUAACACUGCCAAUGCCGGUCCCAAGCCUGGAAAAAAUUGGAGGGGCCAAAAACAAAUUAACACUGCACCUUAAGAUCCCACACAAAGCACGGGCUAGAAUUUUAUAUUAUACUGUCACUCUGGAUUGUUGUAUCAAUCAGACAAAUAUGAACUUACUCUGUGAAGACGAAGCUGAUGCUUUUUUUUGGUAUACUAACAUUGGUUUAAAAUUUGUUCAAACACUACUCGGUGUUAUUCAGAGCUAGAGCAUGAAAAGAAGUUAAUGUGCUUGACACAUGCAGACGGGCCUGAAGAAACUGGUGGAAGAGAAAUGUGUACCUGCUUGAGAUGUAUCCUCUUAGAAAUUACUAUUGGAUAGUAAACAUAAACUGGAACUGCACCAAGCAAUUGAUUUUGCCACAUUGAAGAAGAUGUUCAAAACAAAUUUGGAGCGGAGAGCCUGCAGAUUUGUACCAGAGACACUUGAACAAUCAAAGAGCAAGGAGGACGAGCUCUACAGAGAUCUCCAAGGAAGCCGGUGCUAUUAUCCAUCGAGAAACCAAACCGGCAGCACCACACCCUAGCGAAGGCGAGCCCCGGCAUCGGCCGGCGGCGUCGGUGGCGCUAGAGCCCUAGACGGGUCUGAUGCAUCUGUUUUUUAAGACAAUACUGCGUCUGGUGUUGUGGAAGUGAGUAGACGAAAAAGCAACAGGAAGUGCUCGUGGGCUGAAACGGCCAGAUGGAUUCAAUUAGGCCUUUACAUUUUGUCCAGUCACUAUUCUAACAGACCAGGAAGACCAAAGUGGGCCUAGCAAAUGUAAAUAUCGCAUCGAGCAACAUUUUUUCUUCUUC
RNA transcript from Triticum aestivum (bread wheat), 5398 nucleotides. RefSeq lists it as uncharacterized. The record is from RefSeq and is a predicted model, not a curated record. Lineage: Eukaryota; Viridiplantae; Streptophyta; Magnoliopsida; Poales; Poaceae. The transcript is spliced from 3 exons.